ACACGACUCUCGGCAAUGGAUAUCUCGGCUCUCGCAUCGAUGAAGAGCGCAGCGAAAUGCGAUACGUGGUGCGAAUUGCAGAAUCCCGUGAACCAUCGAGUCUUUGAACGCAAGUUGCGCCCGAGGCUGAUCGGCCAAGGGCACGUCUGCCUGGGCGUCAAGC
RNAcentral lists this ribosomal RNA (163 nucleotides) under Dendrobium moschatum. Its description in RNAcentral is "5.8S ribosomal RNA". It matches the Rfam family "5.8S ribosomal RNA". From Rfam's summary of the family: 5.8S ribosomal RNA (5.8S rRNA) is a component of the large subunit of the eukaryotic ribosome. It is transcribed by RNA polymerase I as part of the 45S precursor that also contains 18S and 28S rRNA. Lineage: Eukaryota; Viridiplantae; Streptophyta; Magnoliopsida; Asparagales; Orchidaceae. The record is from RNAcentral. RNAcentral also lists the same sequence under 1 other name.